RNAcentral lists this ribosomal RNA (802 nucleotides) under uncultured euryarchaeote. RNAcentral describes it as "bacterial SSU rRNA". It matches the Rfam family "Archaeal small subunit ribosomal RNA", at positions 83 to 891 of the family's 1478-position model. Lineage: Archaea; Methanobacteriati; Methanobacteriota. The record is from RNAcentral.
UUACUGCUCAGUAACACGUAGCUAACCUAACUUAAGGUCUCGGAUAAUCUCGGGAAACUGAGAAUAAGCCGAGGCAUGUGACAGCAACUGGAAUGUGCUGUCAUUGAAACUAGCGGCCUUAAGAUGGGGCUGCGGCUGAUUAGGUAGUUGUUAGUGUAAUGGACUAACAAGCCAAUGAUCAGUAAGGGCUCUUAACGGAGAGGCCCUGAGAGGGACUCUGAGACACUAGUCCCAGCUCUACGGAGUGCAGCAGGUGCGAAAAUUUUCCAAUGCGCGAAAGCGUGAGAAAGGAAUCCAAAGUGCUUUUACAUUUGUAAGAGCUUUUCUUUGCUGCAAAAAAGCAGAGGAAUAAGGACUGGGCAAGACUGGUGCCAGCCGCCGCGGUAAUCCCAGCGGUCCAAGUGGCAGCCACAUUUAUUAGGUCUAAAACAUUCGUAGCCUGUCCCGCAAGUUCUUUGUGAAAUCUUCUGGCUUAACCAGAAGGCGUGCAUUGAAAACUGCGAGACUUGGGACUGGGAGACGCAAGAAGAACAGUCAGGGAAGCGGUAAAAUGUUUUAAUCCUGGCUGGACUAACAACAGCGAAGGCAUCUUGCGAGAACAGCUCUGACGGUGAGGAAUGAAGGCCAGGGGCGCAAAAUGGAUUAGAUACCCAUGUAGUCCUGGCUGUAAACACUGCACACUAAACAUUGCUCUCUCCUCGAGAGGGGGCAGUGCUGCAGCGAAGGCGAAGAGUGUGCUACCUGGGGAGUAUAGUCGCAAGACCGAAACUUAAAGGAAUUGGCGGGGGAGCACAAUCGAANU